RNAcentral lists this ribosomal RNA (497 nucleotides) under uncultured bacterium. RNAcentral describes it as "partial 16S ribosomal RNA". It matches the Rfam family "Bacterial small subunit ribosomal RNA", at positions 28 to 507 of the family's 1533-position model. The record is from RNAcentral.
GAUGAACGCUGGCGGCGUGCCUAAUACAUGCAAGUCGAGCGAACAGACGAGGAGCUUGCUCCUCUGACGUUAGCGGCGGACGGGUGAGUAACACGUGGAUAACCUACCUAUAAGACUGGGAUAACUUCGGGAAACCGGAGCUAAUACCGGAGAAUAUAUUGAACCGCAUGGUUCAAUAGUGAAAGACGGUUUUGCUGUCACUUAUAGAUGGAUCUGCGCCGCAUUAGCUAGUUGGUAUGGUAACAGCUUACCAACGCCAUGAUGCGUAGCCGACGUGAGAGGGUGAUCGGCCACGCUGGGAGUGAGACACGGUCCAGACUCCUACGAGAGGCAGCAGUAGGGAAUCUUCCGCAAUGGGCGAAAGCCUGACGGAGCAACGACGCGUGAGUGAUGAAGGUCUUCGGAUCGUAAAACUCUGUUAUUAGGGAAGAACAAAUGUGUAAGUGACUAUGCACGUCUUGACGGUACCUAAACAGAAAGCCACGGCUAACUACGUG